CUGUCGCGCCUAAAUUACGGAGCCAUCUGCCUGAUUACCAAGGUUAAAGGGGCAGAAUCUAUCAAGCAGUUUCGGCCGAUCACGCUCAUAAACGUUCCUUUUAAGACUUGUGCCAAAGCUUACGCUUCUAGGCUAGCGCCGGUCGCCCAACGUGUCAUUAGCAAGAGCCAAACUGCUUUUCUUAAAGGCAGGAACAUCCUUGAAGGACCCAUUGCUCUUACGGAGAUUAUACACGAGUUAAAACGUACCCGAGGGCAGGGCGUUAUCCUUAAGAUAGACUUUGAAAAAGCCUACGAUCGUGUAAACUCAGAGUUUACACGGGAGGUCCACCUCAAAAAGGGUUUUGAGGCAGGGUUUGUUCACCGGAUCAUAAACCUGAUCUCGAGUGGCAACACCUCGGUCAUUGUUAACAGCGAAAUGGGGAAGUCUUUCCGUAAUAGGAAAGGGCUUAGAAAGGUCAACCCUAUAUCCCCACUCGUCUUUAACUUUGUGGCGGAUGCUAUGGAGGCCAUGCUGACCAAGGCCCGGGAGGCCGGUCACAUCAAGUUGUUGUGGAACGAAGUAAUUUCAAAAAAAUUCCUACGCACACGCAAGAUCAUGGUGAUGGCAUAG
This 612-nucleotide ribosomal RNA is filed under the name Triticum aestivum (bread wheat). RNAcentral's name for it is "partial small subunit ribosomal RNA". Lineage: Eukaryota; Viridiplantae; Streptophyta; Magnoliopsida; Poales; Poaceae. The record is from RNAcentral.